Molecule: ribosomal RNA, 497 nt
Filed under: uncultured bacterium
Lineage: Bacteria
Description: partial 16S ribosomal RNA
Rfam family: Bacterial small subunit ribosomal RNA
Source: RNAcentral
GACGAACGCUGGCGGCGUGCCUAAUACAUGCAAGUUGAGCGCUGAAGGUUGGAACUUGUACCGACUGGAUGAGCAGCGAACGGGUGAGUAACGCGUGGGGAAUCUGCCUUUGAGCGGGGGACAACAUUUGGAAACGAAUGCUAAUACCGCAUAAAAACUUUAAACACAAGUUUUAAGUUUGAAAGAUGCAAUUGCAUCACUCAAAGAUGAUCCCGCGUUGUAUUAGCUAGUUGGUGAGGUAAAGGCUCACCAAGGCGAUGAUACAUAGCCGACCUGAGAGGGUGAUCGGCCACAGUGGGACUGAGACACGGCCCAAACUCCUACGGGAGGCAGCAGUAGGGAAUCUUCGGCAAUGGACGAAAGUCUGACCGAGCAACGCCGCGUGAGUGAAGAAGGUUUUCGGAUCGUAAAACUCUGUUGGUAGAGAAGAACGUUGGUGAGAGUGGAAAGCUCAUCAAGUGACGGUAACUACCCAGAAAGGGACGGCUAACUACGUG